AAAGGAUCCUCGGAGAAUAUUUGUCUUGAAAUCAAAAAGAGAGUGUUCGACUCACUCAUCCUUUU
Molecule: transfer RNA, 65 nt
Filed under: Potamilus leptodon
Lineage: Eukaryota; Metazoa; Mollusca; Bivalvia; Unionida; Unionidae
Description: Leptodea leptodon tRNA-Ser
Source: RNAcentral